Molecule: ribosomal RNA, 416 nt
Filed under: uncultured bacterium
Lineage: Bacteria
Description: bacterial SSU rRNA
Rfam family: Bacterial small subunit ribosomal RNA
Source: RNAcentral
UAUUGGGCAAUGGGCGCAAGCCUGACCCAGCGACGCCGCGUGCGGGAGGACGCCCCUCGGGGUGUAAACCGCUGUCAGGAGGGACGAACCCUUCGGGUGGGAAUACUGCCUGGAGCUGACGGUACCUCCAAAGGAAGCGCCGGCUAACUCCGUGCCAGCAGCCGCGGUAAUACGGAGGGUGCGAGCGUUGUUCGGAAUCACUGGGCGUAAAGCGCGUGUAGGCGGCCUCCUCAGUCUGGUGUGAAAGCCCGGGGCUCACCCCCGGAAGUGCAUUGGAUACUGGGAGGCUGGAGUACCGGAGAGGAGGGUGGAAUUCCUGGUGUAGCGGUGAAAUGCGUAGAUAUCAGGAGGAACACCGGUGGCGAAGGCGGCCCUCUGGACGGAUACUGACGCUGAGACGCGAAAGCGUGGGGAGC